GCAAGUGUGGCCGAGUUGGUUAAGGCGCCAGAUUCAAGCAUCCACACUUGAUAUCCGUCAACGGAAAUCCUGGUAACGAAAGUUGCAUGGGUUCGAAUCCCAUCGCUUGCA
Molecule: non-coding RNA, 111 nt
Organism: Penicillium arizonense
Lineage: Eukaryota; Fungi; Ascomycota; Eurotiomycetes; Eurotiales; Aspergillaceae
Source: Rfam